CCUACGGGCGGCAGCAGUGAGGAAUAUUGGUCAAUGGGCGGAAGCCUGAACCAGCCAAGUAGCGUGCGGGAUGACGGCCCUACGGGUCGUAAACCGCUUUUGCACGGGGAUAACACCCUCCACUUGUGGCGUUCUGCAGGUACCGUGCGAAUAAGGGCCGGCUAAUUCCGUGCCAGCAGCCGCGGUAAUACGGAAGGCCCGAGCGUUAUCCGGAUUCAUUGGGGUUAAGGGGAGCGUAGGCGGGCGUUCAAGUCAGCUGGAAAAUCGGGCGGCUAAACCGUGCCCCGCAGUUGAAACUGGAAGCCUUGAGUACACAACAGGCAGGCGGAAGUCGUGGUGUAGCGGUGAAAUGCAUAGAUAUCACGAGGAACCCCGAUUGCGAAGGCAGCCUGCCGAGGUGCGACUGACGCUGAGGCUCGAAGGUGCGGGUAUCAAACAGGAUUAGAUACCCUAGUAGUC
RNAcentral lists this ribosomal RNA (459 nucleotides) under uncultured bacterium. Its description in RNAcentral is "partial 16S ribosomal RNA". It matches the Rfam family "Bacterial small subunit ribosomal RNA", at positions 338 to 795 of the family's 1533-position model. The record is from RNAcentral.